GUGUCAGCAGCCGCGGUAAUACAGAGGGUGCAAGCGUUAAUCGGAGUUACUGGGCGUAAAGGGCGCGUAGGCGGUUUAUUAAGUGAGAUGUGAAAUCCCUGGGCUUAACCUAGGAACUGCAUCUUAUACUGGUAGACUGGAGUACUGUAGAGGGUAGUGGAAUUUCCGGUGUAGCGGUGAAAUGCGUAGAGAUCGGAAGGAACACCAGUGGCGAAGGCGGCUACCUGGACAGAUACUGACGCUGAGGCGCGAAAGCGUGGGGAGCAAACAGGAUUAGAUACCCUGGUAGUCC
Molecule: ribosomal RNA, 292 nt
Filed under: uncultured bacterium
Lineage: Bacteria
Description: partial 16S ribosomal RNA
Rfam family: Bacterial small subunit ribosomal RNA
Source: RNAcentral